This 466-nucleotide ribosomal RNA is filed under the name Vreelandella stevensii. RNAcentral's name for it is "partial 16S ribosomal RNA". It matches the Rfam family "Bacterial small subunit ribosomal RNA", at positions 338 to 795 of the family's 1533-position model. The record is from RNAcentral. Lineage: Bacteria; Pseudomonadati; Pseudomonadota; Gammaproteobacteria; Oceanospirillales; Halomonadaceae.
CCUACGGGUGGCUGCAGUGGGGAAUAUUGGACAAUGGGCGAAAGCCUGAUCCAGCCAUGCCGCGUGUGUGAAGAAGGCCUUCGGGUUGUAAAGCACUUUCAGUGGGGAAGAAAGCCUUGGGGCUAAUACCCUCGAGGAAGGACAUCACCCACAGAAGAAGCACCGGCUAACUCCGUGCACAGCAGCCGCGGUAAUACGGAGGGUGCGAGCGUUAAUCGGAAUUACUGGGCGUAAAGCGCGCGUAGGCGGUCUGAUAAGCCGGUUGUGAAAGCCCCGGGCUCAACCUGGGAACGGCAUCCGGAACUGUCAGGCUAGAGUGCAGGAGAGGAAGGUAGAAUUCCCGGUGUAGCGGUGAAAUGCGUAGAGAUCGGGAGGAAUACCAGUGGCGAAGGCGGCCUUCUGGACUGACACUGACGCUGAGGUGCGAAAGCGUGGGUAGCAAACAGGAUUAGAUACCCGUGUAGUC